Drosophila innubila is the source of this 324-nucleotide long non-coding RNA. RefSeq lists it as uncharacterized. NCBI's taxonomy places the organism in Eukaryota, Metazoa, Arthropoda, Insecta, Diptera, Drosophilidae. The record is from RefSeq and is a predicted model, not a curated record. The transcript is spliced from 2 exons.
UUUUUGUAUGUAUGUAUGCUUUCUGUUUACCGCAACGAGUUUCCAAGCCGCUGCAUAUGAGUGGAAAAUUGAAAAGAGGGGCUUGCUUGUGACCCAAAUAAAAGAAACAGGUUGAAGUUGUUAGUAUUAAGCAAUGCUACGUAGAGUAGGUUGCUAGACCAUAGUUAAUUUUCAGUCUAAUUAAAGGCGAUUAAAGUUUAUCCAAAUGGGCCUAUAUUGAAAGCGGAACGAAAAACACAAAAGACGAAAAUAACUCAAAAACAACACUUUACAGAGGCAACGUCGACGCGCGCACAACGUUGUAAGCGAACCAACGCAACAAAA